GAAAUGCGAUAAGUAAUGUGAAUUGCAGAAUUCAGUGAAUCAUCGAAUCUUUGAACGCACAUUGCGCCCCCUGGUAUUCCGGGGGGCAUGCCUGUUCGAGCGUCAUUUAUACCAAUCUAGCCCGGCUAGGUGUUGGGCUCCGCCGUUUGGCGGGCCUUAAAACCAGUGGCGGUGCUCUUAGGCUCUACGCGUAGUAAUUUUCUCGCUAUAGGGUCCUGGGAGAUGCUUGCCAGCAACCCCAAAUUUUUCUAGGUUGACCUCGGAUCAGGUAGGGAUACCCGCUGAACUUAA
This 291-nucleotide unclassified non-coding RNA is filed under the name uncultured Lachnum. Its description in RNAcentral is "sequence contains ITS1". The stretch from base 1 to 105 matches the Rfam family "5.8S ribosomal RNA", at positions 50 to 154 of the family's 154-position model. Lineage: Eukaryota; Fungi; Ascomycota; Leotiomycetes; Helotiales; Hyaloscyphaceae. The record is from RNAcentral.